Molecule: non-coding RNA, 293 nt
Organism: Streptomyces sp. AS58
Lineage: Bacteria; Bacillati; Actinomycetota; Actinomycetes; Kitasatosporales; Streptomycetaceae
Source: Rfam
CGUCGGCGAUCUGCGGGCAGAUGAAGUGGACGUGCGCGUCGACGGCACCGGCGGUCAUGAUGCGGCCGUUGCCGGCGAUGACCUCGGUCUCAGGUCCGAUCACCAGGUCCGGGUGCACCCCGUCCAUCGUGUCCGGGUUGCCCGCCUUGCCGAUGCCGGUGAUCCGGCCGUCGCGGAUACCGACGUCCGCCUUGACGAUCCCCCAGUGGUCCACGACGACGACCCCGGUGACGACCGUGUCGGGGGUGCCCUCCGCGCGCGUGGCGCGUGACUGGCCCAUGGAUUCGCGGAUG